RNAcentral lists this ribosomal RNA (492 nucleotides) under uncultured bacterium. RNAcentral describes it as "partial 16S ribosomal RNA". It matches the Rfam family "Bacterial small subunit ribosomal RNA", at positions 28 to 505 of the family's 1533-position model. The record is from RNAcentral.
GACGAACGCUGGCGGCGUGCUUAACACAUGCAGGUCGAACGGUGAAGCGCCUUCCUUUUUGGUGGGUGUGGAUGAGUGGCGAACGGGUGAGUAACACGUGAGUAACCUGCCCCCUUCUUCUGGAUAACCGCAUGAAAGUGUGGCUAAUACGGGAUAUUCUGGGUCUGUCGCAUGAUGGGUCUGGGAAAGAUAUUGUUUCGGUGGGGGAUGGGCUCGCGGCCUAUCAGCUUGUUGGUGGGGUGAUGGCCUACCAAGGCGGUGACGGGUAGCCGGCCUGAGAGGGUGGACGGUCACACUGGGACUGAGACACGGCCCAGACUCCUACGGGAGGCAGCAGUGGGGAAUAUUGCACAAUGGGCGCAAGCCUGAUGCAGCGACGCCGCGUGAGGGAUGGAGGCCUUCGGGUUGUGAACCUCUUUCGCCAGUGAAGCAGGCCUGCCUCGUUUGUGGGUGGGUUGACGGUAGCUGGAUAAGAAGCGCCGGCUAACUACG